UACGAAGGGGGCUAGCGUUGUUCGGAAUUACUGGGCGUAAAGCGCACGUAGGCGGAUACUUAAGUCAGGGGUAAAAUCCCGAGGCUCAACCUCGGAACUGCCUUUGAUACUGGGUAUCUCGAGUCCGGAAGAGGUGAGUGGAAUUCCGAGUGUAGAGGUGAAAUUCGUAGAUAUUCGGAGGAACACCAGUGGCGAAGGCGGCUCACUGGUCCGGUACUGACGCUGAGGUGCGAAAGCGUGGGGAGCAAACAGG
RNAcentral lists this ribosomal RNA (253 nucleotides) under uncultured bacterium. RNAcentral describes it as "partial 16S ribosomal RNA". It matches the Rfam family "Bacterial small subunit ribosomal RNA", at positions 524 to 776 of the family's 1533-position model. The record is from RNAcentral.